UCUAUGAUUUUGUUUAUUGUUUAUGAUUACCGUUCGUGCAAAUGGUGGCGCUGUAUGGAAAAUUUGAAAACAACACGAUUGGCAAUUUAUUUGGAUUUCGGAGAUCCUGGUCCUGGUUGAAAUUUAGAGUAUUGCAGCUGUAGCCUGUAUACCAUACAUUCAACAUGAAAAGGACUGUCAGGAUGCAGCAUAAAAUGGUCUUAGCUAGAGCCUAGAAUGUUAAUUUCUUGGGAAUGUGCUGCAAGGAACUGACGGGGAGCAGUUUUUUUCUUACCAAUCAUAGUAGCAGUAAGAGACAGCCAAAGAAGUACUCAAACACUUGACAUACCCAGAAAGAUUGGAACAGAUUGUAGUUAAAUUGUUAAAACUAUUAAAGUGAAUUUAAGUUGCACUUGAACUGUAUUUUUGAAAUAAAUAUCUGAAGUAUUUAAUAUUGUCUUGAUAUUUUGUUAAACUUGGUUACUUUGCUUUAUAUCCAAAAAUUAAAGUAUGAUGGGUUUUCAACGUUGAAAUGACAUUGAAACUUCAACGUUGUGCCAACGUUGAAGCUGCAACGUUGUAUCAACGUUGAAUCUGCAACGUUGAAUCAACGUUGAAAAUUCAACGUUGUUUCAACUUUCAAAUCCGAAUAUAAAUCCAACCUUAUUUCAACGUUGAAAUCUGACCAUAAUUCAACGUUGAAACAACGUUGAUGUGCCUG
Molecule: long non-coding RNA, 700 nt
Organism: Ruditapes philippinarum (Manila clam)
Lineage: Eukaryota; Metazoa; Mollusca; Bivalvia; Venerida; Veneridae
Exons: 4
Source: RefSeq, a predicted model, not a curated record